RNAcentral lists this ribosomal RNA (374 nucleotides) under uncultured bacterium. RNAcentral describes it as "bacterial SSU rRNA". It matches the Rfam family "Bacterial small subunit ribosomal RNA", at positions 28 to 402 of the family's 1533-position model. The record is from RNAcentral.
GACGAACGCUGGCGGCGUGCCUAACACAUGUAAGUCGCACGGGACCGGGGGCAACUCCGGUUCAGUGGCAGACGGGUGCGUAACACGUGAAGAACCUGUCCAACGGCGGGGGAUAGCCGGCCCAACGGCCGGGUAAUACCGCAUACGAUCGUUCGGGGCAUCCCUGGGCGAUGAAAGCAGCCGCAAGGUUGCGCCGAUGGAGGGCUUCGCGGCCUAUCAGCUAGUUGGCGGGGUAACGCCACCAAGGCAACGACGGUAGCUGGUCUGAGAGGAUGGCCAGCCACAUUGGGACUGAGACACGGCCAGACUCCUACGGGAGGCAGCAGUGGGGAAUUGUUCGCAAUGGGCGCAAGCCUGACGACGCAACGCCGCGU